RNAcentral lists this transfer RNA (83 nucleotides) under Danionella translucida. It matches the Rfam family "tRNA". Rfam says of the family: Transfer RNA (tRNA) molecules are approximately 80 nucleotides in length. Their secondary structure includes four short double-helical elements and three loops (D, anti-codon, and T loops). Further hydrogen bonds mediate the characteristic L-shaped molecular structure. tRNAs have two regions of fundamental functional importance: the anti-codon, which is responsible for specific mRNA codon recognition, and the 3' end, to which the tRNAs corresponding amino acid is attached (by aminoacyl-tRNA synthetases). tRNAs cope with the degeneracy of the genetic code in two manners: having more than one tRNA (with a specific anti-codon) for a particular amino acid; and 'wobble' base-pairing, i.e. permitting non-standard base-pairing at the 3rd anti-codon position. Lineage: Eukaryota; Metazoa; Chordata; Actinopteri; Cypriniformes; Danionidae. The record is from Rfam by way of RNAcentral. RNAcentral also lists the same sequence under 1 other name.
GUCAGGAUGGCCGAGCGGUCUAAGGCGCUGCGUUCAGGUCGCAGUCUCCAAUGGAGGCAUGGGUUCAAAUCCCACUUCUGACA